This 922-nucleotide long non-coding RNA is filed under the name Nicotiana benthamiana. Its description in RNAcentral is "long non-coding RNA (NBEN_LNC014070)". Lineage: Eukaryota; Viridiplantae; Streptophyta; Magnoliopsida; Solanales; Solanaceae. The record is from RNAcentral.
CAGACUCGAGCUUCAAAAGGAGGAUGAUGAAAACAAGCUGCAUCAAUUUCUCAUGGGGCUUAACGAUACAUAUGUUGGAGUUAGGUGCAACAUCCUCAUGCUACAGCCUCCCCCAUAUCUAAACAGUGCGUACAACAUUCUGCUUCAGGAUGAGAGACAAAGACAAGUUACAUCAUCUCCCUCUCAAUUCCUUAGUGACACCACUACUUUCAACACUUAUUUCACCAACAAAUUCCCUGGCACACCUGCCCAUUCUAAACAAUUCAAUCAAAGAGUCAGCUUUGAUCUCAACAAGACAAACUUAGUGUGUAGAUAUUGCAAGAAACCUGGUCAUAUGAUUGACAAGUGGAGUCAGCUUUGAUCUCAACAAGACAAACUUAGUGUGUAGAUAUUGCAAGAAACUUGGUCAUAUGAUUGACAAGUGCUACAAACUCCAUGGAUUCCCACCAGACUUCAAAUUUACAAGAAGCAAGAGGACUGCAGCAAAUGUUGAGGUGCAGGGAUGUCUGAACUCUGUUGGGUCUCCAAACAAUGUUGAUAGUACUCAGGGGUCUUCUGAAUCAGAAUCUUUGAUUCAUGGUUUAACCAAGGAUCAAUAUUCACAACUCAUGUUGCUGCUUCAACAGACACAAAUUUCAGAGUUUCAACAACAAUCCAGUCUUAUGGCAUCUGCCAACUUUGCUGGUACUUUUUCUCCCCAAAGUUGUUUAAAGAAUGUAUCCUAUGGGGCUUGCAUGUUAACUAAAAUUAGAAAAUGCAUUUGGAUUAUAGAUUCUGGUGCCACUGAUCACAUGACCUCUAAUAAAGAUCUUCUGUUUGAUAUUCAGCCAUUAGUUAUACCAUACUUAGUUACCUUGCCUAAUGGUUAUAAGGUCAAGGUAACAUGUACUGGAUCCAUACAAUUCCUUUGUUUCACUCUACA